Long non-coding RNA from Serinus canaria (Common canary), 641 nucleotides. RefSeq lists it as uncharacterized. The transcript is spliced from 3 exons. The record is from RefSeq and is a predicted model, not a curated record. Lineage: Eukaryota; Metazoa; Chordata; Aves; Passeriformes; Fringillidae.
GGCCGACGUGGUGGUGCCAGGCGGCCGCUUGUGCCACCCAGCGCCCUCAGGAGCAGCCCCGCGGUGAUGAGGGGUCGGUGCCCCCUCAGAGCCACGGGAAGGGUUUCAGGUGGAGUGGGCCAAGUGUAACCCACGAAUUACUUGGCAAAGCUGAUGGUGCACAGGGGACCAGACUCCAAGAUGAAAACCAAGCCUUGCUGAAAUGUGAAAGCACAGAUUGCACCCUGGAUGAAUGUGGGCAGGAGCUGGAUGAAUAAAGAGGGCUUCACUCACAGCAACAGUUCACCUAAAUCCACUUAAAAUACUUGCUGUAGUAGGAAAAAACCCACCUUUGUCAUGCAGAGAAAGGCAAGACAUCUGCAAAAAAAUAUUUGAAGAACUCCCCACCACAAAACUCACCCUGGUAUUGGACUUCUGAAACAGGUUCCAAAGAGCAGCUCCAAGUGUAGGAUAAGAUCAGGACAUCAAUACAUAAUGCUUGUCCUCCAUCAGAGAGAUUUAAUUUAUCCUGUCAACAUGAGCUAAUUAAUAAUUAAAAAGGGCACCGUGAUCCUUAUGUGGCAGGUCCUAUAAAAUGAAAAUUUAAGCAAUUUGAGAGGCAGUAGAUUCCUGAUUAUUAAAAAAACAUGUUCAGGGAUUUA